AAAUAUCAGCAGGUAAUUCUGGGCUGUUCCCAUCCCAGACUACCCGUUGAUAUGCAA
RNAcentral lists this microRNA precursor (57 nucleotides) under Triops cancriformis. RNAcentral describes it as "microRNA tcf-mir-283 precursor". Its record names the gene tcf-mir-283. The record is from miRBase by way of RNAcentral. Lineage: Eukaryota; Metazoa; Arthropoda; Branchiopoda; Notostraca; Triopsidae.